GAACUGAAGAGUUUGAUCAUGGCUCAGAUUGAACGCUGGCGGCAGGCCUAACACAUGCAAGUCGAGCGGCAGCACGGGUACUUGUACCUGGUGGCGAGCGGCGGACGGGUGAGUAAUGCCUAGGAAUCUGCCUGGUAGUGGGGGAUAACGCUCGGAAACGGACGCUAAUACCGCAUACGUCCUACGGGAGAAAGCAGGGGACCUUCGGGCCUUGCGCUAUCAGAUGAGCCUAGGUCGGAUUAGCUAGUUGGUGAGGUAAUGGCUCACCAAGGCGACGAUCCGUAACUGGUCUGAGAGGAUGAUCAGUCACACUGGAACUGAGACACGGUCCAGACUCCUACGGGAGGCAGCAGUGGGGAAUAUUGGACAAUGGGCGAAAGCCUGAUCCAGCCAUGCC
This 397-nucleotide ribosomal RNA is filed under the name Pseudomonas syringae pv. actinidifoliorum. Its description in RNAcentral is "bacterial SSU rRNA". It matches the Rfam family "Bacterial small subunit ribosomal RNA", at positions 1 to 398 of the family's 1533-position model. The record is from RNAcentral. Lineage: Bacteria; Pseudomonadati; Pseudomonadota; Gammaproteobacteria; Pseudomonadales; Pseudomonadaceae.